AUUGAACGCUGGCGGCAGGCCUAACACAUGCAAGUCGAGCGGAUGAAGGGAGCUUGCUCCUGGAUUCAGCGGCGGACGGGUGAGUAAUGCCUAGGAAUCUGCCUGGUAGUGGGGGAUAACGUCCGGAAACGGGCGCUAAUACCGCAUACGUCCUGAGGGAGAAAGUGGGGGAUCUUCGGACCUCACGCUAUCAGAUGAGCCUAGGCCGGAUUAGCUAGUUGGUGGGGUAAAGGCCUACCAAGGCGACGAUCCGUAACUGGUCUGAGAGGAUGAUCAGCCACACUGGAACUGAGACACGGUCCAGACUCCUACGGGAGGCAGCAGUAGGGAAUAUUGGGCAAUGGGCGAAAGCCUGAUCCAGCAAUGCCGCGUGUGUGAAGAAGGUCUUCGGAUUGUAAAGCACUUUAAGUUGGGAGGAAGGGCAGUAAGUUAAUACCUUGCUGUUUUGACGGUACCAACAGAAUAAGCACCGGCUAACUUCGUG
RNAcentral lists this ribosomal RNA (484 nucleotides) under uncultured bacterium. RNAcentral describes it as "partial 16S ribosomal RNA". It matches the Rfam family "Bacterial small subunit ribosomal RNA", at positions 30 to 507 of the family's 1533-position model. The record is from RNAcentral.